Molecule: non-coding RNA, 2062 nt
Organism: Rattus norvegicus (Norway rat)
Lineage: Eukaryota; Metazoa; Chordata; Mammalia; Rodentia; Muridae
Source: RefSeq, a predicted model, not a curated record
GAUGUGUACAGGAGUUUAUGUGUCUAGAUGAGCAAAUUAUACCUUGUUUAGUUGGGCAUUUAUAUCUUAUCAAUUGGAUCAGAGGUUAUUGUGUUGUGUGUUCUUUCAUGUGGUGAUUUAAUUGAGUUCAAGAGAUUGUGUGGUGACUGUACACACUGGGCUACCAUGGAAUAGGGAUGUGUAUGUCUGGCAUCGUGUCAACCUGUCUUGGGAACUAGAUGGCUGGAGAGAUUGUUGCUAGAGAGUACCCAUUGUCUGUGUGAUAUGGGAUGGAAUAUAGUGUGUGAGAAGCUUUGUUGACUGAAAUGAAAAUAUCCAAUGGAUGCCUUGUGGCCCUAUGGUGCUGGCACUAAUGUGGUAUAAAAGAAACCUUCUUAAAAAUUUUUUUACUGCAACAGUGGGGGACAUAAUACAAAAGAGAUUGAGGAGGGGUAGGGAAGGAAUAGAGAAAAUAUAGAGGAAAGGGGCAAAGAGAUUACCACCCACUUAGGAAAUGGAAUAGAGUAGGUAACGUAGACUGUCAAGGUGGAAGAAAGGAAAACCAGCCAUGCCAAGGGCUGGGACAUGUCUCCCAGCCAAAAUUGGGGACUGGGCCCAAGAGCCCUGUCAUGUUGUCAGUAACCACAAGGGCAGUUCUUAUGCAACAUGGGAAAAGAAGUCAGAUCAAUAAGGAAGUUUCUGGCCACAAGGAGGUGGAGAUGGAGAGGUCCUGCCCUACUCAGUCUUCCCCUUGAGAAUGUCUGAGCGUGUCUAUCACUUUACCCUGAUUCUCUCUGGAUUGCUGAGUGCCCCAGUGUCCCUAGCAGGGCAUCAAUGCCUUCCUGACAGCCCUGCUGGUCUCACUUCCUGGACAGAAUCUGGCCAUGGCUCAGACUCUCCUUCUUUUGCUGUCGGCAACAUGUCUGCACACUGGGAACUCAGCAGGAUUCACAAGAGAAAAUGACCUUGGUUUCAACCAACCAGCUGUCCUCUCAGGAGUCCAGGGCGGCUCCAUCGAGGUCCCCUUCUCCUUCUACUUCCCCUGGGAGUUGGCCAAGGAUCCUCAGAUGAGCAUAGCCUGGAGAUGGAAAAACUACCAUGGGGAAGUCAUCUACAACUCCACCCAGCCUUUCCUUCACGAGCAUUUUAAGGGCCGGCUCAUCAUGAACUGGACACAGGGUCAGACAUCUGGUGUCCUCAGAAUCCUGAACUUGAAGGAGAAUGACCAGGCCACAUACUUCGGCCGAGUUUUUCUGCAAACCACAGAAGGCAUGAAGUUGUGGCAGUCAAUCCCUGGCACCAAACUCAUCAUUCAUGCUCUCAUUACUACCCCGGGGAGCCCCUUCAUCAUCCCCUCUGCAGUCCUCACAGCUGGCCUGGAGGACACAAGGGGCCAGAGGAAUCCUUCACUGCUGAACUUGGGAGCCAUGGUUGGGAUGGUCAUGGCCAAAGUUGUGGUCAUCAUCCCCCUCUAUGGAUGGGUGAUCUUCCUGUGGUGGAAACAAAGGCCAGCAGAAUAAAGACUAUACCCUAGUAAGGUGAGUGCCUGUCAUCUCAAGGGACGGAUGAGGAGCUGCUUGGAAGUUCAUUAUGAGAGGCAUGAAUGCAAUCCAGAGUGAUGAUUCAGUCAGAAACGCAUGGCACAGGGGUACGAGGACCUGAGUUUGAUGGAUUAGGGGCUCCCACCUAGGGAUGUGAUGUCGCAGGAACUUGCAAUCCCAGCCCUAGUCCAGCAAGAGACAAGCAGAGACAGAUUGGCUGAACACCUAGUCUAGAACAACUGGCUCCCCAGUGCUAGGAUCUCCCAUCAGGGAGGUGAGUUUAUAUCAAAGUUGGUGACCAGACACCCUGCAUCCCACAACCUUCCAUGGCUUCUCGCUGGGAGUCAGUCAUCAUGGCUGCAGGAUUCUCCUGUGAAAAUCACCAUUCUUGGAUAACUCCCACUUCUGCCAUGUGGGCUCUGACACCCUUGUUUGGAACCAACGUCCUCCUGUGUGUCUCUGGGCCUGAAAGCCUGACUGUGCUGUUGUCUCUCUGCUCAUGGAGUUAUUGACACUGUUAAUAAAUAUCUUACUCCCAGCAA